GAAAGAAAUGAUACAGAUUUGAAAUGAGAAAGUAUCAAAUCAAACUAUUCAGCAUUGACCAAACAACAAGCUAUGCCCAAACAACCAUAUCAGGUUCACCAAAACCAACCACAGAAGCCACAAACAAUUUACAGGGAUAGGAUGUAUACUUUUAUUGACUAAAGUACAUAAAAUAGGAUAUUAACUUAGUCACACAAAAGUUCUCGUUUCAAAAGAAUUCAGGCUCCAUUUGGAAAGAGAGAUUAAAGGAUUUAUAAGUUUUUACUUCAAAUUGUAAAAUUUAAUAUCAAUAUUUGUAAAUAAG
Molecule: unclassified non-coding RNA, 304 nt
Filed under: Hevea brasiliensis (rubber tree)
Lineage: Eukaryota; Viridiplantae; Streptophyta; Magnoliopsida; Malpighiales; Euphorbiaceae
Source: RNAcentral